AGCAAGUUCACAACGAAGAGUGACAUAUAUAGCUUUGGCAUUAUCCUUUUUGAACUAAUCACCGCUAUUCAUCCACAUCAGAACUUAAUGGAAUAUGUAAAUCUUGCGGCAAUGAGUUCUGAUGGAGUUGAUGAGAUCCUAGACAAGAAGCUUGUUGGAACAUGCAGUGUAGAACAAGUGAGGAGUCUUGCUGCAAUUGCUCAUAAAUGCAUACACAGAACACCUAGGAAGCGUCCUUCCAUGGGCGAAAUAUCACAUGCAAUAUUGAAAAUAAAACAGAGGCGCCUUGUCAAAGAGGAUACCAUGUCAUUUACAAGAUAUGACAGUUCAAGAAUGGCUAGAAGGAUAGAACAUCAACAGGUUGAAUUGAGAAACAUGGCCAGCAUUAAUGAAAGAGAAGUUGAAUGACUUUUCAUUCACAACCAUGAACACUUUGUUUCAAUUCUUGAGCUUAUUUUUUGCAGCAUAAAAGAUAUAGGAAAGACAUCACGCUGAGUGUUGGAUCAACAACUUGGCAUGAAAUUGGUGUUUUUGGAUAUGAUUUAAGUUAUAUAAACUAACCAUGUAAAGAAUUUUUAUAUCGGAAAAUUUAAGUUGACA
This 600-nucleotide unclassified non-coding RNA is filed under the name Hevea brasiliensis (rubber tree). Lineage: Eukaryota; Viridiplantae; Streptophyta; Magnoliopsida; Malpighiales; Euphorbiaceae. The record is from RNAcentral.